Non-coding RNA from Theobroma cacao (cacao), 1989 nucleotides. NCBI's taxonomy places the organism in Eukaryota, Viridiplantae, Streptophyta, Magnoliopsida, Malvales, Malvaceae. The record is from RefSeq and is a predicted model, not a curated record.
UUCAUUAAAUAAAUUUUCUAAAAUGACUAAUUUUUGUUGGGAGGUCCCAAUGAAAGUUAACUGCCAAAGCAAAAUUUCUACCUUUUGAUAAUAUAUGACAGAUUUGACUUUGUUGUGUGCUAACCAAGAAAAGAAAUUUAACUCUGUAAGAACUAUGAUCCCCAAAGUGAAAAUUUGGGGGACUCUGUCAUCUCUUCUGCCUCCAUAUUCUAUACUUCCCCCUUCCAUUCUGCGUCUUAAUCUAGGUCAGAGUAUCCCAAAAGGAUAAAGAAGGGGAUCUUGCAUGUCUAAGUUCAUAUUUCUCACAAUCCAAAGAUCAAGAAGAUACUAAAGACAAUUAAAUACAAUACACAAGCAAAAUGGAGGGUGAGAUCGGCAGCUUCAUCAAGGUCUGGUUAUCUGUCUUGACAUCUCUAUGCUACUGCUACGCCAUUGGCAAGAUGGUUCCGAAAGGAACCAAUAGACUCAUUUUCCUACUCCCUGUUGUGUGUCUCUUUCUCUUCCUCCCUCUCAAUCUCUACUCGCCGAAUCUUGGCGGUGUGACAGCCUUUUUCAUUGCUUGGCUUGGUAACUUCAAGCUCUUACUAUUUGCCUUUGACAAAGGCCCUUUGCUUGCACAUACCUCUCUUCCACUUUUUCUGGCUGUGGCUUGCCUACCCAUCAAGAUCCAACGCAACCAACCUUCAAAAUCACAGCUAAAUGGCCAAGUUAAAGAAAACCCAUCAUCAAAAUCACAUCAGAACGGCCAUGAGAAAGAAAAUUCAUCUACUAGAAAAUCCAAGGAAGGAGCUGUAAACUAUGCCAUAAAGGGUCUGCUUUUGGUCAUUAUGAUACGAGUCUAUGACUACAGCGAGUACAUGCACCCAAAGAUCAUAUUGCUUCUUUACUCUAUGCACAUGUAUUUCCACCUCGAGAUCAUCUUAGCCAUAAGUGCAGCCAUGGCUCGAUCCCUUUCGAGGCUAGAGCUCGAGCCACAGUUCAAUAAGCCGUACCUGUCGACCUCACUGCAAGAUUUUUGGGGCAAAAGAUGGAACCUCAUGGUGACCAGUAUCCUGCGGCCCACGGUGUACGAACCUACCCUCCGAUUUUCCUCGACUCUGAUCGGCAGAAAGUGGGCUCCGAUCCCAUCUGUUUUGUCCACGUUUGUAGUCUCUGCUCUCAUGCACGAGCUAAUGUUCUACUACCUGGGGCGGAUGACUCCCACCGGGGAGGUGACGUUGUUUUUUCUCAUCCAUGGAUUCUUUCUGACAGUGGAGAUUGCUCUGAAGAAGGCAUUGAACGGCAAGUGCCGGCUGCCGCGGCUAGUCACGGGACCGUUGACAGUGGGGUUCGUGCUGGGCACGGGCUUCUGGCUGUUCAUCCCACAGUUCACGCGGUGCAAGGUGGAUGUUAGAGCGUUUGAAGAGUAUGCGGAAGUGGGCACUUUGUUGAAAAGUGCAAGUGAAAAGGUACUUGGGAUUUUGUCAGCAAAAUAAAAGGUUCUGAACCUGUAUCUGGGACUCAAGCAAAUGGAAUCCUAAAAGUAGCUUGUGAGUUUCAAUCCAAAUGGAAAAGAUUCUCAAGAAAAUUGCCUCGCAAAAGGAAGAACAGUGACUUGACAAAGGGGGUUGAUGAUAUUGAUGGCUCCCUAACAUUGUUGCAACACAGGCAAACAGCUCUAAACAGGGUUUAAGGAUUGUUGCAACACAGGCAAACAGCUCUAAACAGGGUUUAAGGUUCGUUGGAUUGCAGUCACUUAUAGAUAGAUUGGCAACUGAACACUUCCCAACUUAAACAUCAGUCAUUGCCAAUAACUUUCAUCAUAAAUAUCUGUUGCUAUAUUUUGUAAAAUGUUUUAAUGAUACAGAAUCAUUGAAUAUGUAAUGCUAAUUGUUAUAAACAUGAUGAUUUGUAACAAGAACCAGAAGGAAAGUGAAAGUCCUUAUAAAAUGUACCAUGUGGAGACUGCAGAAACAGCCCAAGUUAAUCAUUUGGUAGUUGCUUUUCUUA